AAUUUUUACAAUGAAGAGUUUGAUCCUGGCUCAGGAUGAACGCUAGCGGCAGGCUUAACACAUGCAAGUCGAGGGGCAGCGAGGGUAGCAAUACCUGUCGGCGACCGGCGCAAGGGUGCGUAACGCGUGAGCAACAUGCCCGUAUCAGGGGGAUAAUCCAGGGAAACUUGGUCUAAUACCGCAUAAUAAUCAUUUGGGGCAUCUUGGAUGAUUUAAAAUUUCGAUGGAUACGGAUUGGCUCGCGUGACAUUAGCUGGAUGGUAGGGUAACGGCCUACCAUGGCUACGAUGUCUAGGGGUUCUGAGAGGAAGGUCCCCCACACUGGAACUGAGACACGGUCCAGACUCCUACGGGAGGCAGCAGUGAGGAAUAUUGGACAAUGGAUGGAAAUCUGAUCCAGCCAUGCCGCGUGCAGGAAGACGGCCCUAUGGGUUGUAAACUGCUUUUGUAUGGGAGCAAUAAGGGCUACGAGUAGCCUGAUGAGAGUACCAUACGAAUAAGGACCGGCUAACUCCGUGCCAGCAGCCGCGGUAAUACGGAGGGUCCGAGCGUUAUCCGGAUUUAUUGGGUUUAAAGGGUGCGUAGGCGGUUUUAUAAGUCAGCGGUGAAAUUUUCCGGCUCAACCGGGAUACUGCCGUUGAUACUGUAAGGCUAGGAUAUGGUUGCUGUGGGUGGAAUGUGUGGUGUAGCGGUGAAAUGCUUAGAGAUCACACAGAAUAUCGAUUGCGAAGGCAGCUCACAAAGCCAUUAUUGACGCUGAGGCACGAAAGUGUGGGGAUCAAACAGGAUUAGAUACCCUGGUAGUCCACACUGUAAACGAUGAUAACUCGCUGUCGGCGAUAUAAAGUCGGUGGCCAAGCGAAAGCGAUAAGUUAUCCACCUGGGGAGUACGACCGCAAGGUUGAAACUCAAAGGAAUUGACGGGGGCCCGCACAAGCGGAGGAACAUGUGGUUUAAUUCGAUGAUACGCGAGGAACCUUACCCGGGCUCGAACGGUGCAGGAAUACUACAGAGAUGUGGUAGCUAGCAAUAGUCUGUAUCGAGGUGCUGCAUGGUUGUCGUCAGCUCGUGCCGUGAGGUGUCGGCUUAAGUGCCAUAACGAGCGCAACCCUUGUCGUUAGUUGCCAUCAGGUCAAGCUGGGAACUCUAACGAGACUGCCACCGUAAGGUGUGAGGAAGGGGGGGAUGACGUCAAAUCAGCACGGCCCUUACGUCCGGGGCGACACACGUGUUACAAUGGCAGGUACAGAGGGGAGCUACCCAGCGAUGGGGUGCGAAUCUCGAAAGCCUGUCUCAGUUCGGAUUGGAGUCUGCAACUCGACUCCAUGAAGUUGGAUUCGCUAGUAAUCGCGCAUCAGCCAUGGCGCGGUGAAUACGUUCCCGGGCCUUGUACACACCGCCCGUCAAGCCAUGGAAGCCGGGGGUGCCUGAAGUUCGUGACCGCAAGGAGCGACCUAGGGCAAAACUGGUAACUGGGGCUAAGUCGUAACAAGGUAGCCGUACCGGAAGGUGUGGCUGGAACACCUCCUUUUUGGAGCUGU
RNAcentral lists this ribosomal RNA (1541 nucleotides) under Bacteroidales bacterium CF. RNAcentral describes it as "bacterial SSU rRNA". It matches the Rfam family "Bacterial small subunit ribosomal RNA". Lineage: Bacteria; Pseudomonadati; Bacteroidota; Bacteroidia; Bacteroidales. The record is from RNAcentral.